Molecule: transfer RNA, 73 nt
Filed under: Stegodyphus mimosarum
Lineage: Eukaryota; Metazoa; Arthropoda; Arachnida; Araneae; Eresidae
Rfam family: tRNA
About the family: Transfer RNA (tRNA) molecules are approximately 80 nucleotides in length. Their secondary structure includes four short double-helical elements and three loops (D, anti-codon, and T loops).
Source: Rfam by way of RNAcentral
ACCUUCGUGGUGUAAUGGUUAGCGCGCUCGGGGCGUAUUCGAGAGGUCCGUGGUUCGAUUCCCGGCGAGGGCA